Molecule: unclassified non-coding RNA, 264 nt
Filed under: uncultured Boletales
Lineage: Eukaryota; Fungi; Basidiomycota; Agaricomycetes; Boletales
Description: sequence contains ITS2
Source: RNAcentral
AAAUUAUCAACCAAUCUCUUGAUUCAUUUCAAGUUAUCGGCUUGGACUUGGGAGUUGCUGGUGUCCCCCCUAUCAGCUCUUCUGAAAUACAUUAGCAGUUGGGUGGCUAGUCUUUCGGACGUGCACGGCCUUCGACGUGAUAAUCAUCGUCGUUCGCUGGAGCGACUUGGACAAUGCCAAUUACUCCCAUCGCUUACAAUACCAUCAAGCUUUAGUUAUUAGUCCAUCGAAAGAUCGGCGAACACAAAGCUACACAAUAUCUAC